AACGAACGCUGGCGGCAUGCCUAACACAUGCAAGUCGAACGAGACCUUCGGGUCUAGUGGCGCACUGGUGCGUAACGCGUUGGAACCUGCCUUUAGGUUCGGCAUAACUCAGAGAAAUUUGAGCUAAUACCGGAUGUUGUCUUCGUACCAAAGAUUUAUCGCCUUUAGAUGGGCCUACGUUGGAUUAGUUUGUUGUUGGGGUAAAUGCCUACCAAGGCGACGAUCCGUAGCUGGUCUGAGAGGAUGAUCAGCCACACUGGAAGUGAGACACGGCCCAGAAGCCGAAGGGAGGAAGCAGUGGGGAAUAUUGCACGAUGGGCGAAAGGCUGAUACAGCAAAGGCGCGUGUGUGAAGAAGGUCUUCGGAUUGUAAAGCACUGUAAGUUGGGAGGAAGGGCAGUAAGUUAAUACCUUGCUGUAAUGACGUUACCAACAGAAUAAGCACCGGCUAACUUCGUG
RNAcentral lists this ribosomal RNA (458 nucleotides) under uncultured bacterium. Its description in RNAcentral is "partial 16S ribosomal RNA". It matches the Rfam family "Bacterial small subunit ribosomal RNA", at positions 29 to 507 of the family's 1533-position model. The record is from RNAcentral.